RNAcentral lists this ribosomal RNA (480 nucleotides) under uncultured bacterium. RNAcentral's name for it is "partial 16S ribosomal RNA". It matches the Rfam family "Bacterial small subunit ribosomal RNA", at positions 28 to 507 of the family's 1533-position model. The record is from RNAcentral.
GACGAACGCUGGCGGCGUGCUUAACACAUGCAAGUCGAACGAUAACGUCAGGACUUGUGGCUCAGGCAGAAAUAAAGCGCGGGAAAGUGGCAGACGGGUGAGUAACACUUGAGGAACCGACUGCUAACAAAGGGAAAGCUCCGGGAAACAGGGAUUAAUACCAUAUAACUGUGCGACGAAUCAUUUCGCUACAAUCAAAGCUAAGUCGCUAAUAGAUGGGCCCGCGUUAGAUUAACCAGAUGGUGGGGUAACGGCCCACCAAAGCAACGAUGGGUAACCGGCCUGAGAGGAUGAACAGCCACACUGGAACUGAGACACGGCCCAGACUCCUACGGGAGGCAGCAGUGGGGAAUAUUGCACAAUGGACGAAAGUCUGAUGCAGCGACGCCGCGUGAGUGAUGAAGGAAUUAGUGUUGUAAAGCUCUUUUACAUGGGAAGAAAAUGACAGUACCAGGAGAAUAAGCUCCGGCUAACUACGUG